Molecule: ribosomal RNA, 253 nt
Filed under: uncultured bacterium
Lineage: Bacteria
Description: partial 16S ribosomal RNA
Rfam family: Bacterial small subunit ribosomal RNA
Source: RNAcentral
UACGUAGGGGGCAAGCGUUGUCCGGAAUCAUUGGGCGUAAAGCGCGUGUAGGCGGCCAGAAAAGUCCGCUGUGAAAACUCGAGGCUCAACUUCGAGCUGUCGGUGGAAACUUUCUGGCUAGAGUCCGGAAGAGGAGAAUGGAAUUCCUGGUGUAGCGGUGAAAUGCGCAGAUAUCAGGAGGAACACCGGUGGCGAAGGCGGUUCUCUGGGCCUUACCUGACGCUGAGGAGCGAAAGCAUGGGGAGCAAACAGG